AGCAGCCGCGGUAAUUCCAGCUCCAAUAGCGUAUAUUAAAGUUGUUGCAGUUAAAAAGCUCGUAGUUGAAUUUCGGGGUUAGUAGGUUGGUCAUGCCUCUGGUAUGUACUGGUCUCACUGAUUCCUCCUUCCUGAUGAACCUUAAUGCCAUUAAUUUGGUGUUUUGGGGAAUUUGGACUGUUACUUUGAAAAAAUUUAGAGUGUUUAAAGCAAGCUAACGCUUGAAUACAUUAGCAUGGAAUAAUGAAAUAGGACGUUCGAUCCUAUUUUGUUGGUUUCUAGGAUCGACGUAAUGAUUAAUAGGGAUAGUUGGGGGCAUUAGUAUUCAAUUGUCAGAGGUGAAAUUCUUGGAUUUAUUGAAGACUAACUACUGCGAAAGCAUUUGCCAAGGAUGUUUUUCAUUAAUCAAGAACGAAAGUUAGGGGAUCGAAGACGAUCAGAUACCGUCGUAGUCUUAAACCAUAAACUAUGCCGACUAGGGGAUCGGAUGAUGUUAAUUUUUUUAAAUGACUCAUUCGGC
Molecule: unclassified non-coding RNA, 520 nt
Filed under: uncultured Glomus
Lineage: Eukaryota; Fungi; Glomeromycota; Glomeromycetes; Glomerales; Glomeraceae
Description: SSU rRNA
Rfam family: Eukaryotic small subunit ribosomal RNA
Source: RNAcentral